Molecule: transfer RNA, 69 nt
Filed under: Rattus norvegicus (Norway rat)
Lineage: Eukaryota; Metazoa; Chordata; Mammalia; Rodentia; Muridae
Rfam family: tRNA
About the family: Transfer RNA (tRNA) molecules are approximately 80 nucleotides in length. Their secondary structure includes four short double-helical elements and three loops (D, anti-codon, and T loops).
Source: Rfam by way of RNAcentral
GGGGAUUUAGCUCAGUGGUAGAGCGCUUGCCUAGCAAGCACAAGGUCCUGGGUUCGGUCCCCAGCUCCU